GUCCAGACAAAUGUAUGCUAUUGAAGCUCUACUAAAAGAGGGAAAUGCAUGAAGUGAGGUUGUAGCACAAGAUCUGUUAUUUCCAUUGCCUCUAAUGACGCUGAAACAGUUCUUGCAGUGCGAAAAAUUGGAAAUGAAUACAACAUGAGAAAAUAAUUUACUCGAUAAUGAAACGGUUACCAGGUUCGACGUCUGCCGAAUUAGAAGAAGCCAUCAAAGAAUGAUUCUAUCGCUCAGGUGACAGAAUAAGAAGCGUUACAAAACAAAAUAAACAGUAUUAAAAUAAACAUAUAAAAUAUAAUAAAAUAUUACUAUAUUAAAAUCAUUUUUUAAUAAAUAUAAAAAAUAUAAAAUAUGUAAAUGUAACAUGCUACAAUAAUACAAAUAAUAAAUAUCUAUAUAUUUUUUAGAGUAAUAA
Molecule: long non-coding RNA, 418 nt
Organism: Atta colombica
Lineage: Eukaryota; Metazoa; Arthropoda; Insecta; Hymenoptera; Formicidae
Exons: 2
Source: RefSeq, a predicted model, not a curated record